UCAACAAUGCCUGUGUAGUUGCCUUGUUCACUUCAGCCUUUGAAGGCUGAAUCUCUUCCAAUCUCAAAACCAGCUUUGUUAAUGUGCAAGCUACAACUGUCUCAAGGAAAAAAUCACCCGAGAGAAUCAAUGAUCUCAAGUUCCCCACGGAAGCCAAAGAUCCUUGAACCAGGACAGGUGCAGACAUAGCAGUUUCCAGUGCAGCAGACUGGGUGGCAUAGGUCCCAUCUGCAAGGAUCACAGGCCUCCUAGAAGACACAGUGGUCGAGCUUACCACCUGAGAAUUCUUUGUAGCAUCUUGUGCCUCUUUUUCCUCAGAAGCUGUGUAAAAUGGGAGAUCCCCAAGACACUGCUUAAUGGUUGCAAUCCCACUCUCAACUUCAGAGAGCGAGAGACAAUACUCCCCGAUAAUCCAGAGGGAAUGAGUGCAAACCCUCGAAUUGCGGAUCUGGUAGAAAGUAUCUAGCAGCCUCGUUAUUACAGAAACACGCAGCUUGGGGUUGGUUUCAAUAAUCUCACGCACAAAAGCAGCCACAUCCAGGGCUGAAGCAACAUUGGUAUCGCCCAAGAAAUCCAUCAAAGGAUGCACCACCGUGCUCGCCACCUCAGGAAACUUAACUGCGCAUGCAUAUAUUGCUUGCACUAACAUCUGCCUAUACUCCCCGUUCUUCUCAAGCUCCCCACUCUGGGUCUUCACGACCUCCUUCUUCAACAUCAUCACAACCUGAUUAAUAUUCCGGGAAGUAAUCAAAUCAAGCACAAUAUCAAGAGUCUUCCUCCUAAUAUCCACAUUCGGACUUGACAGUGCCCUCAGCACAUCCAUAACCAACUCAACCAUAAUCUCCCUAUGCGAAGCCUUGAGCUCACUAAUCCUAUCCAGCAAAAUCAACUUCACAUUGUUAUCGCUCUGCGACAACAACAACUGAGAAUAAGUGUUGGCUGCUGCUUUUAUGGCCGUAGGUGCCGAAGACAACGACACAAGCGUUCCAGCACACUCAUAAACAACGGCACUCGACGGUGCAUCCAGCAACGAUAUAAUAAUCUUAAUGUACUUGGAUUUCUCACCCUUAUUCACUCUACAGACCUUCUUAAUCAAUUCCAACACGACCAUUUGGAGCUGUUCCCCCCACUCAAUAAUCCUACUGAUAUGUGUAAACAAAUAAUUCACAGCCCUAUCUUGCGCGCAAUUAAAGAGCAUAAGGAAAGCAUUUCGCUUACUGGAAGGGUCCUGCUCGGAGGCCAAGAACCGAUCGAUGAUCUCCGGCGCGCUAUCCAGCAAUGUCUCCCCCUGCGGAAGCCUAUACACGAACAUGAUCGCCAGCACGGCAUUUCGUCGAACAAAUGGGUGGCGGUGCUCCAAAUUGGUGAGAAUCGAAGGGAUCAGAGGCUCGAUGAUCUCGGCCUCGUUCAAUCGGCAGAGAAAUCGCAGCGUAACGCCUCGGAUGUACUCGUUCGGGUGCUGAAGAUUGUUGCGGAGGUUCUGGCAGAUGAGGAUCAUCUCCGGGAGGAUCUUGCCUUUGGAGUCGGUUUUCUCUACGAUCUCAAGGUAGAGGAGGAGGAGCUUCUGGACUGUGUGGUCCUCGGAGGGCAGUACGUAUCGGAUGAUGGUGAUAAAGAGGUGGGGAAUGGUGUCGCCGUUGAGGAGGAGCAUGAUGGCCUUCUUGAGGGCUUCGAUCUUCAAUUCGACGUCGUUUCCUUCAAGGGCUUCUUUAAUCUCGUUGGCUAGGGCUGGUGUGCCUUUGUCGAAGUGGACGAGGAGAGUGCAUGACUUCUCCAUCAUUGGGGAUCCGAAUCGGAAUUGGAUCUCAGGGAAUCAGAAAUGCCGGAUCUAAAUGAGAGAAAUGAGAAGGAGGAGAAGAACAAGAAGAGAUCUGGGUUUGUUUUGGUUGUGGUGGAUCCGAUUUGGUGUCUGGUGUUGGCUUUGGCUUAGAUUGGAAGUGACUACUGCUGAAUUUAUCUUGUGUUGCGCCUAAGGAAUUUGUCUCGUGUUGCGCUCAAUCAUUUAUCAAGUAGAAAGUUUGGUGUUUGGCCCCUUUAGGCUUUGAUGUUUACAAUUUGGAGAGUUUUAAAUCGCCCCGACGGCAUGGCAUGGCGCUGGUUUUUGAGAAGAAAAUAUAUUUCAUUAAAAAAAACCAUGAAACAUACAGAGUGAGUAAACCAAGAUAAAGAUUCAAGAAUUAGUGACAGGCCCAAAGGGCCCAACAAGAAAAUAAAAACAAGUGUGAGGCCUUGAUAAUAAAAAUAUGGAAUAGAAAGGUAACAAUAUAAAAAGCAAGCUCGCAAGAAUACAAAUGAUUUGAAUUUAAUUUGUAUAUUUUUUAUUAAAUUAAAGAAAAUGGCUUGAUAAUUAAAAUAAUUUAAAUAAAUAUCUCUCUCUCUCCCUUUAAAAAAAUAAAAGUCACUCAAAAUAUUUUGGCAUAUAGAGCUUGUGGUCAUCCUUUACAAACCGAUUUCGUAGCGUAGGGAAAAUCUUACAUGGGCCAAAUGAGAAGGGAGAAAUUUACUUUGAUGUUAACCACAAAUUAAUUACAAUUAUUAUUUAUACCAUAUUUAUUAAGUUCGAUAAACAUUUUAUCAAUAAAUGUGUUACGCAUAACAUUAUUCUUUUCUCAAACCAUAUAGUAUUUUGUUCAAAAACUUGGGACAUUGAUCCAUGACUAACAUAAAAUUAGUUGAGCAAUCUUGCUCUUCCAACUUUUGAUAUUCAUUCAAAUCAAGCUUUUAUUAAUUAAAGAUUGAAAGCAAUUACCCAAAUACGUAUGAAUUAAUCUAUUUUUUUAAAUUGAAAUGUUGCAGUUUUAAUUAUUAAAUUGUUUUAUUUUAUUUUAUAAAAAAGCAAUAAACUUUUAUUAGAUCAAUAAGAAAAAGUAGUACAAAGGACAUAGACUCUAUAACAAGAUGACAGACGUGGGUAAAACUUCCCCAAGUCAACUGCAAAAGAUGAAGUAAUGAUCUGGAAAACUCACACAGCUUAAUAAAAGAAAAUGAGUCCAUAAACUUGAUAUUAAAAUAUGUGACAAGCGAAACUUGCUGGGGGUAUUGAUAGCAACAGCUAAUACAAAUUGAAAACAGGAAAUGUUACAAUUAACAACAGAAAUGCAUACGGUGGGCAUCGCUACAAAAUUACUUGAAAAAUAUUGUGGAUGGCAGCAAUACGUCCUAACCAUCCUCUUACUUGAAAAGCAAAAAAAGCAAAAGAAUCCUAUAACAAACACGAUCCUCAGUAAAAGGUUGAAGCAAGAAUAACAGCUGCAAAAUUAGGCUGUGUCCAAUCAGAGGCCGCCCUUCUGUUUCAAGGUGAUCUUGUCCCCAAGACUGAGGGCAAUGCCUUGAGUCUUGCUUCUAAUUCUGAUGUAUCCACUUAGCUUACCAUCGGCUUGUUUCUCAACACUCACAUUCACCAAAGCAUCCUCCCCGAAAACACUCUUUGCGUACAAAUUUGCAGCGAGGACUCCACACUCUCCUUCCAGUGCCGAUCUAAUGCCCAAUUAGCGAGGGAUGAGCAGAAAUUAAUGACCAUCAAUCAUCCGCUCAGAAGGCGUAAAGAGAUUAAAAGGAAAAUACACUUACUCUUAUAUGCAUGUUACAUGUAUAAGCACCUCUGGAAAAUGUCAAAGUUCAACUGUAUUUUAUUUACAUUAUGACAUGGUCACUAAGUUUUUAAGUCAUGUGCACAUUUGUAGAGGUGGACAACAUGGCACUACCAUCGACAACUAUGUAACCUUCUUAAAUGAUUCUUGUAUGAAAUUAUAUAUAUGUAUAUGUUUGUAUGGUUGCAUGUAAAUAGCUAUGUACAAUUCUGUGCAUCAUGAAAAGAAUAAUUUAUUUCUUCAACAUGCAACAGAGUAAAUGAUAAACAUGGUUAAUAGAGUCCCAAAACUUACGGUGGAGUCAGGCACUUCAUGUUAGUCGCUUUAACAACAUGGUUCAGAAAUUCCUUUUCGUCCUGAAUAACAGUAUUUACAGCAACCUGGGGAAAAGAGUGUGUUAAUGCAUAGUAGAAUCCAAAGGCAUACCAUACCAAGAGCAAAAUUACAAUAAGGAUGACAAGAAAUAAUUUUUAAACUGAAAUAUAAACACAUUUGCUUUUGGAGGAGAACCCAAACACAAGUCCACAGAAAGGAAAUAUUAUCAAGUUGUAAAAAAGAAUCAUAAUUAAGGACAUGUAAGAAGCACAUUGUCAUUUGAUGUGAGAAAAGAAAACACAAGUCCACGAGCACUAGAUAAGUAAAGAUGAUGCAUGAGCUAACAACCAAGGAUGAUUCAGAAGCAGCACCAUCUGCAAGAGCCUACUUUAUCCAGCAGGAAUUAGAUUAACAUGAAAGAAAUUACCCAGUUUGCAUCAUGUAUGGUGCAACAACCACACAAUGUAUCCACUAGCAUGAGGCAUUGACAUACUAUUGAAUCUAUUCCAUUAGAAAGCUCACAACUAUCAUUAUAACCAUAAUAACCAUCACCAUAAUUAUUAUAUUACAGCUUUAUUAUUGGCACAGCAUCAUCAUAAUCAUAACCAGUAAAUGUCACUGAAGAGGUUCAUCAUAUAAAUGCAUGCCUUGUAAGCCUUAUCUGAACAUUGGCAUUCGUGAACUUAGGAAUUAAAUGAAAAAUGGAUCAUUAUGUAGUCGGGUUCAAAGGCAUCAUAUCGUUUUGGGUCAUUGUGAAACCAUUUCAAAGAAGAAGCACCAAACGAUCACAUCAAUGAAGCACAAAAAUUUAAAAAUAAAAUAAAAUGCAAAACCAUAUCAAAUCAGGGUACCUUGUUUUCCCACUCAAACUCAGCCCACAUUGUCCUAAAUGACACAUCAGCACAUGAUGCAGGAGAGAUGUAAUCCAUUAUAUCAAUAUGGAUGUCAUUGAGAACAAUAACCGAUCUGUCAAGCACAUUUGAAGAAGCCUCGUAUACAAUGUUACCAAAUAUAACUCCUGUUUCAGUUGAAGAGACCUUAAUGUUUGCCUUUAUCUGUUUGCUUGAUUCCGGAGCUAGCGUAUAGUUUUGUGGACGCUCAACAAGUUUCAGAUCACCCAUUGUCGCCAACUCCAAGCACAAAUUCUGAAGGGUUUCCUUGGUUCGAUUGAUGACGGUAACAUCAAGAACAAUGUCAUAAUGAUUAACUGUUACAUAGGCUUCAGCAUAAACAGGAUCACUGAAUCCUGUGAGUUGAAGAAUGCGGUUGAGUUUGUUUGCAUCAUCUUUAUCCUUUGUGAAUUCUCCAGUAGCACGUUUGAGAUCAUCUUGAACCGCAUCUUCCAACUCGAGUUGGCUCAUACCCUGAAAAAAAAAAAUGUGUACAUAUAAAAAAGCAUCCAAAGUUCCAAACUAUGUGAUGAAAACAAUGGUUUUAGCAGUCUAUCCGAAUUGAGACAAGAAAAGCCUAAUGCUGCCUUACCUUUCUGCUCUUAAGAUGGUAGAAAUCAAUAAGGUCAUCUGGUUGUGCACUCAAUAUCUGGGCCUUAGCUUUAGUUUCCUCUGUUUCAAGGAGCUGCUUAUCUGCAAGCAUUUUCACAAAGCUCUGUCUACAUGACUCUAGCCAUAUCUUCCUUACUUCUUCACCUUUAUGGCAUAGUAACCGAAUGCAAAGAACUAUUCUAUCUCGAGAAUCAUUAUCAAUCGGAUGUGGAAGGACCGAGGAUUGACCCAAUUGAAGCAUAGAGACCAUGAUCAACAAUGCCUGUGUAGUUGCCUUAUUCACUUCAGCCUUUGAAGGCUGAAUCUCUUCCAAUCUCAAAACCAGCUUCGUUAAUGUGCAAGCUACAACUGUCUCAAGGAAAAAAUCACCCGAGAGAAUCAAUGAUCUCAAGUUCCCCACGGAGGUCAAAGAUCCUUGAACCAGGACAGGUGCAGACAUAGCAGUUUCCAGUGCAGCAGACUGGGUGGCAUAGGUCCCAUCUGCAAGGAUCACAGGCCUCCUAGAAGACACAGUGGUCGAGCUUACCACCUGAGAAUUCUUUGUAGCAUCUUGUGCCUCUUUUUCCUCAGAAGCCGUGUAAAAUGGGAGCUCCCCAAGACACUGCUUAAUGGUUGCAAUCCCACUCUCAACUU
This 6040-nucleotide long non-coding RNA is filed under the name Prunus persica (peach). RNAcentral's name for it is "long non-coding RNA (PPER_LNC002904)". Lineage: Eukaryota; Viridiplantae; Streptophyta; Magnoliopsida; Rosales; Rosaceae. The record is from RNAcentral.